This 1920-nucleotide ribosomal RNA is filed under the name Triticum aestivum (bread wheat). RNAcentral describes it as "partial small subunit ribosomal RNA". The record is from RNAcentral. Lineage: Eukaryota; Viridiplantae; Streptophyta; Magnoliopsida; Poales; Poaceae.
AUGAUGCCCACCUUGUCUACCUUUCUCAGGCUUUUGACCGGACGACGGCCUUGUAGCAGCAGCAGCAGCGUGAGGCCAGAGAUCAAGAAUAUGAGCAGGGAAAGUAGCAGCAGAGCAGCAGCGGCCGGCCGGGGGAAAAGAGAGCAGCAGUGUGCGGCAGCGCAGCGGAGCGAUCAAGAAAAAAAGAGCAGCAGUGUGCGGCAGCGCAGCGGAGCGAUCAGGAAAAAGAGAGCGCCAAGAGCAGUCCCUUUGGAGGUAUUUAUAGGAGGGAGCAACAGAGGGAUGCACCCACGUUCUCUAGUUCGUGGAUUAGCAUCUGCCGCUGAAGCACAGAUCUUACGUUGGAAGAGUGCAAAUCCUUUCUUCUUCAUCAAGGGCUGGCUUCGCUCGGGCUAUCGCCUCCGUGAGAUGGCGCAGAAAUCGCGCACGGUUCCCUCACAUCGACUAUCCCUUGUCGAGCUAGCCAAGCAACAGAAACUAUAUGAACCUAGCUCCGAUGACCAAGACUGCCCCAUAGUUAAAGCUAUAAGUAUACCAAAGGGUGAACUCGACAACGGUCCUCGCGAUGGAGACUUAUAUGAAGAAUUUAUCCCACCAGAACAUGCACUAGACCCCUCCCUUUGCCAAUUCCCUGACUUCUUACCGGACCUAUUAUCCGCACAUGAUCAGCUUGCCAAGAACAAUGGCGGCCACGUGACUUUCCAGGUCUGGUGUGACUAUUUUCACAACCGGCGAGACCAUUUCGUUCCUUUCGCGUCUCUUCGUGAGGUCCGCUUCACCCAUCCUGUAGGACCCUGCUACCGGAUUAGGGGAUGGCCCAUCCAUUUCAUUAUCGGCUGGAUGGGGGUUUAUCUGAAGAAUGUAUUUGGUAAACGAGCAAAAGUGAGCAAAUUUCCAACUCCUAAGCUUUGUCCAGGGAAAUUAUCUAUGGUGGGGACUAUGUUUAGGAUUCCACACGAUUUUAGCCCUGAAAAGGCGCACGAUUUCUUCGAGAAACACAAGAGUAUUGUGUGGUACCCCUCAAAUUUCUCUGACUUGGCUAGCACUCGUUGGCUGCAAAAAGCAUUCACCAUUUCCAUCCAUCGAGGGAUGCUACCGUGGAGAAGGUCCGAUUAUGAUGACGACUUGUGCAUUGUUGAGCCGUAUCAUCCCGACCGGGUGGCUCGACAAUUCAAAUUGGAUCAGCAAGUACCAUAUACUCCAUUGCGCAGUUUAUAUAUAAUAGAUGACAUUAGUGUUGCUUAUGCACACUGGUGGCAUUUAUUGCACUCGAAUCCGAAACAGCCUCACUACAUUCCCAACAAAGAUUUUAUGGGCAAUUCCUCAGUGGCAUGGACAAACUGGUGGACCAUUUUCACCCAACCUUUCACCAGCGUUCUAGGCCAGCUUCGUCAAGGUAACAUGCACGGGCAAGAUUCCUAUGAAGAAAGGCUUGCCAAAUAUGUGAAUAAUGGGAAGAAACAUAUUUUUUCUCGCAAGAUUUUGGAAGGGGAUCUUGUCGUAGUAAAGAGGGUGUCUGAUGAACGGCAAGAGGAAUAUCUUGCAGCUAUUGAGGUGAGAGAAAUGCCGACAGUGAAUCAUUGGAGGGACAUCUUAAGAGGUUACCACUUGGAUAACAAUGCCCCGCCACCUUGGUUGCAACAGAAGCGGAAAAAUAAUCCAAAUGAUGUUGCUGCAAGUUCCUCUUCCAAUCCCCGGCCACUUAUAAGCGUGACAGUAUCAGGCACACGUUUAAAUGCAAGGAAGGAGGGUACUGACAUUUUGGUUGAUAGGAACUCAGAGGAACCUAGUCCAAAUGCAACAAUCUCUUCCGGUGGGGAGGAAAGACCUGCUGUAAAAAGGAAGAUUGAAAUUUCUCUUGGAGAAAGCCCAUGUAAUCUUGACGAGUUGGUUGAUUUUAUGCAUGAACUUGAUGAUACA